Molecule: ribosomal RNA, 246 nt
Filed under: Clostridioides difficile
Lineage: Bacteria; Bacillati; Bacillota; Clostridia; Peptostreptococcales; Peptostreptococcaceae
Description: partial 16S ribosomal RNA
Rfam family: Bacterial small subunit ribosomal RNA
Source: RNAcentral
UCUCAGUUCGGAUUGUAGGCUGAAACUCGCCUACAUGAAGCGGGAGUUACUAGUAAUCGCAGAUCAGAAUGCUGCGGUGAAUGCGUUCCCGGGUCUUGUACACACCGCCCGUCACACCCCGGGAGUUGGGGGCGCCCGAAGCCGAUUAUCUAACCUUUUGGAAGAAGUCGUCGAAGGUGGAAUCAAUAACUGUGGUGAAGUCGUAACAAGGUAGCCGUAUCGGAAGGUGCGGCUGGAUCACCUCCU